Molecule: ribosomal RNA, 477 nt
Filed under: uncultured bacterium
Lineage: Bacteria
Description: partial 16S ribosomal RNA
Rfam family: Bacterial small subunit ribosomal RNA
Source: RNAcentral
GAUGAACGCUGGCGGCGUGCCUAAUACAUGCAAGUCGAGCGAACAGACGAGGAGCUUGCUCCUCUGACGUUAGCGGAGGACGGGUGAGUAACGCGUGGAUAACCUACCUAUAAGACUGGGAUAACUUCGGGAAACCGGAGCUAAUACCGGAGAAUAUAUUGAACCGCAUGGUUCAAUAGUGAAAGACGGUUUUGCUGUCACGUAUAGAUGGAUCCGCGCCGCAUUAGCGAGUUGGUAAGGUAACGGCUUACCAAGGCUACGAUGGGUAGCCGACCUGAGAGGGUGACCGGCCACAUUGGAACUGCGCUAGGCGCCCGACUCCUACGGUAGGCAGCAGUGGGGAAUAUUGCACACUGGGCGGAAGCCUGAUGCAGCAACGCCGCGUGCGGGAUGCCGCCCUUCGGGUUGUAAACCGCUUUCGCCUGUGACGAAGCGUGAGUGACGGUAAUGGGUAAAGAAGCACCGGCUAACUACGUG